UCCCUAAUAGCUCAGCUGGUAAAGAAUCUGUCUGCAAUGCAGGAGACCCUGGUUCGGUUCCUGAUUUGGGAA
This is a transfer RNA of Ovis aries (sheep), 72 nucleotides long. It matches the Rfam family "tRNA". From Rfam's summary of the family: Transfer RNA (tRNA) molecules are approximately 80 nucleotides in length. Their secondary structure includes four short double-helical elements and three loops (D, anti-codon, and T loops). Further hydrogen bonds mediate the characteristic L-shaped molecular structure. tRNAs have two regions of fundamental functional importance: the anti-codon, which is responsible for specific mRNA codon recognition, and the 3' end, to which the tRNAs corresponding amino acid is attached (by aminoacyl-tRNA synthetases). tRNAs cope with the degeneracy of the genetic code in two manners: having more than one tRNA (with a specific anti-codon) for a particular amino acid; and 'wobble' base-pairing, i.e. permitting non-standard base-pairing at the 3rd anti-codon position. The record is from Rfam. Lineage: Eukaryota; Metazoa; Chordata; Mammalia; Artiodactyla; Bovidae.